CACUACUACAAAAAUUAGCUUUUAUAGCGCACAUUUAAUAGCGCUUAUUUAAAAGCGCUAUUAAAACCUGAAACGGAGCCCAUUUAACAGCGCUUAUAUGGAAAGCGCUAUUAAAACAUCAAACACAGUGACAAUAUAAUAGCGCUUUUCGAGAAAACGCCAUUAAAGGUGCGCACGCGGAUCACUAUAAUAGCACUUCUAAGGAAAGCGCUAUUAAAUCCGAUACUAUAUAAUAACGCUUUUGACACAAGCGCUAUAGUAGUCAAAAUUAAUAAAAGAAAUUUGUGGUUGCCGGGUGUCGAACCUUUGACCCCUUAGUUGUUGAUUAAUAAAUUAAAAAAUAUAUAUAGCAAAAAUAGAACAGUCCUUGCUAUCCCUUACUUUCCUAAUUCGUUUCUCACUAUCUGUCGUUCCUCUUUGAUCACUCACCGUCGAAUCCUUGGUUCUUCUACUUUCCAUCUCAUCAAACCUCCAUCUUUAUCCUUAUCAAGUUCCUUGGUUUCAACUUAGCACCUCACCUCCAUCUCCUUCAAUCCUAGUUCUUUCGUUUCGACCCAACACCUCCAUCAUCGAACCCUAAAUCUCGUGAUUUCUCUCCCGACCCAGCAAUUGAACCCUAAUCCUCGUGAUUAUCAAACCCUAAAUUCUUGCUUUCAACACCUCACGCCCUUCUUCUACUUAUUUUAGGUUAUUAUAAGAAAGGCAUACCUGAAAGGUUUUAGGGAAAUACUUGUUGCUUUACAGGAGCUCAAGGUAAUUUCAAUUUUGCUCUGUAUUAAUUUCAUGUUGCUUUUUUAGGUUUUUUUUCCUGGUUUUUUUGUAAGAUGCAUAGUUUUUGUUUUAG
Molecule: long non-coding RNA, 844 nt
Filed under: Trifolium pratense (red clover)
Lineage: Eukaryota; Viridiplantae; Streptophyta; Magnoliopsida; Fabales; Fabaceae
Description: long non-coding RNA (TPRA_LNC002967)
Source: RNAcentral